RNAcentral lists this RNase P RNA (437 nucleotides) under Planctomycetes bacterium GWC2_45_44. Its description in RNAcentral is "RNase P RNA component class A". It matches the Rfam family "Bacterial RNase P class A". Rfam says of the family: Ribonuclease P (RNase P) is a ubiquitous endoribonuclease, found in archaea, bacteria and eukarya as well as chloroplasts and mitochondria. RNAcentral also lists the same sequence under 1 other name. The record is from RNAcentral. Lineage: Bacteria; Pseudomonadati; Planctomycetota.
UCGGCCAGUCGGACGACCGCUGCUCCUGAAUUUGCGGAGCGGAGGAAAGUCCGGGCAGGAAAAAGCACGGCGACGGCUAACGACCGUCCGGAGUAAUCCGCGGGAUAGUGCAACAGAAAAUAUACCGCCCCGCACCUAUUUUGCUAUCGUUCAGAGCCGCGACAGUAAUGGAGCGGUAUUUAGCCCCCAGUUUUACUGGGGGUUCAGUUCGAUACCGAAAUAGGUGCGAGGUAAGGGUGAAAUGGUGCGGCAAGAGCGCACCGCGUCAGCAGUAAUGUUGAUGGCAUUGAAAACCCCGCCGCCUGCAAGACCAAGUAUGCCGGUAUGCCUCGCUUGGGCGUUAACCCGGCGGGUAGGUCGCUUGAGCCUGUCAGCAAUGACAGGACCAGAUAAAUGGUCGUCCAAGACAGAACCCGGCUUAUAGACUCGCCGAACAA